UAAUACCGGCGCCUCAAGUGGUAGUCGAUUUUAUUGGGCCUAAAACGUCCGUAGCCUGUUCGGUACAUUCGUGGGUAAAUCAACCAGCUCAACUGGUUGAAUUCUGCGAGCACGGCCAGACUUGGGACCGGGAGAGGUGUGGGGUACGCUCAGGGUAGGGGUAAAAUCCUGUCAUCCUGAGCGGACCACCUGUUGCGAAGGCGCCACACUAGAACGGAUCCGACGGUCAGGGACGAAGCCUAGGGGCACGAACCGGAUUAGAUACCCGGGUAGUCCUAGGUGUAAACGCUGUGGACUUGGUGUUGGGGAUUCUCCGAGGAUUCUCAGUGCCGAAGCGAAGGUGAUAAGUCCACUGCCUGGGGAGUACGGUCGCAAGGCUG
RNAcentral lists this ribosomal RNA (380 nucleotides) under uncultured euryarchaeote. Its description in RNAcentral is "bacterial SSU rRNA". It matches the Rfam family "Archaeal small subunit ribosomal RNA", at positions 471 to 851 of the family's 1478-position model. The record is from RNAcentral. Lineage: Archaea; Methanobacteriati; Methanobacteriota.